Molecule: ribosomal RNA, 497 nt
Filed under: uncultured bacterium
Lineage: Bacteria
Description: partial 16S ribosomal RNA
Rfam family: Bacterial small subunit ribosomal RNA
Source: RNAcentral
GACGAACGCUGGCGGCGUGCCUAAUACAUGCAAGUUGAGCGAUGAAGAUUGGUGCUUGCACCAAUUUGAAGAGCAGCGAACGGGUGAGUAACGCGUGGGGAAUCUGCCUUUGAGCGGGGGACAACAUUUGGAAACGAAUGCUAAUACCGCAUAACAACUUUAAACAUAAGUUUUAAGUUUGAAAGAUGCAAUUGCAUCACUCAAAGAUGAUCCCGCGUUGUAUUAGCUAGUUGGUGAGGUAAAGGCUCACCAAGGCGAUGAUACAUAGCCGACCUGAGAGGGUGAUCGGCCACAGUGGGACUGAGACACGGCCCAAACUCCUACGGGAGGCAGCAGUAGGGAAUCUUCGGCGAUGGACGAAAGUCUGACCGAGCAACGCCGCGUGAGUGAAGAAGGUUUUCGGAUCGUAAAGCUCUGUUGGUAGAGAAGAACGUUGGUGAGAGUGGAAAGCUCAUCAAGUGACGGUAACUACCCAGAAAGGGACGGCUAACUACGUG